GAUGAAGAACGCAGUGAAAUGCGAUAAGUAAUGUGAAUUGCAGAAUUCAGUGAAUCAUCGAAUCUUUGAACGCACCUUGCGCUCCUUGGUAUUCCAAGGAGCAUGCCUGUUUGAGUAUCAUUAAAUUAUCAACUGUGCCAAUUUGGUUACAGAUUGGAUGUGGGAGAUUCUUUUUGCAGGCCUUUGACUUCUCUUUGAGAAAAAAAAUAAAAGGUCGGCUCUCCUGAAAUGUAUUAGCAGUGCCUUUGUUGGUUCAUUAGGUGUGAUAAAUUGUCUACAUCUUCGCAUGAUACCUUCAUUUGUAAAGGUCAUAUUGCUUCUAAAUUGUCUUUGAUUGGACGCAAAACAUAUAUAAUGUUUGACAAACUUGAUCUCAAAUCAGGCAGGACUACCCGCUGAACUUAAGCAUAUCAAUAAGCGGAGGA
RNAcentral lists this unclassified non-coding RNA (425 nucleotides) under soil metagenome. RNAcentral describes it as "partial contains 5.8S ribosomal RNA, internal transcribed spacer 2, and large subunit ribosomal RNA". The stretch from base 1 to 120 matches the Rfam family "5.8S ribosomal RNA", at positions 35 to 154 of the family's 154-position model. The record is from RNAcentral.